This 467-nucleotide ribosomal RNA is filed under the name uncultured bacterium. RNAcentral describes it as "partial 16S ribosomal RNA". It matches the Rfam family "Bacterial small subunit ribosomal RNA", at positions 28 to 506 of the family's 1533-position model. The record is from RNAcentral.
GACGAACGCUGGCGGCGUGCUUAACACAUGCAAGUCGAACGGAAAGGCCCUGCUUUUGUGGGGUGCUCGAGUGGCGAACGGGUGAGUAACACGUGAGUAACCUGCCCUUGACUUUGGGAUAACUUCAGGAAACUGGGGCUAAUACCGGAUAGGAGCUCCUGCUGCAUGGUGGGGGUUGGAAAGUUUCGGCGGUUGGGGAUGGACUCGCGGCUUAUCAGCUUGUUGGUGGGGUAGUGGCUUACCAAGGCUUUGACGGGUAGCCGGCCUGAGAGGGUGACCGGCCACAUUGGGACUGGGAUACGGCCCAGACUCCUACGGGAGGCAGCAGUGGGGAAUAGUGCACAAUGGGCGGAAGCCUGAUGCAGCAACGCCGCGUGCGGGAUGACGGCCUUCGAGUUGUAAACCGCUUUCGCCUGUGACGAAGCGUGAGUGACGGUAAUGGGUAAAGAAGCACCGGCUAACUACGU